UGGCGUGGCCAUGGAGGACAAUGCUACCACUAACCCCUUGCAGCUCCUGCCUCUAGAGCUUGUGGACAAGUGUAUAGGAUCACGAAUUCACAUUGUAAUGAAAAGUGAUAAAGAAAUUGUCAGCACACUUCUAGGAUUUGAUGUCUUUGUCAAUAUGGUGUUGGAAGAUGUCACAGAGUUUGAAAUUACACCAGAAGGAAGAAGGGCUACUAAAUUAGAUCAGAUUUUGCUAAAUGGAAAUAAUAUUAACAAUGCUGGUUCCUGGAGGAGAAGGGCCUGAAGUAUGAAUGGAUUUCCUUGAUUCUGUUUCUUUUACCUUUAAUGUUUAGAUUCAGUAAUGCUAAGUUUCCUGUUAAAGGGAAAUACUUUGAAGAUGUACACCCAUUUUUCUAAA
RNA transcript from Nannospalax galili (Upper Galilee mountains blind mole rat), 394 nucleotides. NCBI's taxonomy places the organism in Eukaryota, Metazoa, Chordata, Mammalia, Rodentia, Spalacidae. The record is from RefSeq and is a predicted model, not a curated record.